AAUCCCAAAAAGUGCGUCGUAGUCCGGAUUGGAGUCUGCAACUCGACUCCAUGAAGUCGGAAUCGCUAGUAAUCGUGGAUCAGAAUGCCACGGUGAAUACGUUCCCGGGCCUUGUACACACCGCCCGUCACACCAUGGGAGUGGGCUGCAAAAGAAGUAGGUAGUUUAACCUUCGGGGGGACGCUUACCACUUUGUGGUUCAUGACUGGGGUGAAGUCGUAACAAGGUAGCGCUAGGGGAACCUGGCGCUGGA
RNAcentral lists this ribosomal RNA (253 nucleotides) under Vibrio parahaemolyticus. Its description in RNAcentral is "partial 16S ribosomal RNA". It matches the Rfam family "Bacterial small subunit ribosomal RNA", at positions 1270 to 1522 of the family's 1533-position model. Lineage: Bacteria; Pseudomonadati; Pseudomonadota; Gammaproteobacteria; Vibrionales; Vibrionaceae. The record is from RNAcentral.